CCUACGGGAGGCUGCAGUGGGGAAUAUUGCGCAAUGGGCGAAAGCCUGACGCAGCGACGCCGCGUGUGGGAUGACGGCCUUCGGGUUGUAAACCACUUUCGGGAGGGACGAAGCUCUGACGGUACCCCCACAGGAAGCACCGGCUCACUCUGUGCCAGCAGCCGCGGUAAUACAGAGGGUGCAAGCGUUGUCCGGAAUCACGGGGCGUAAAGGGCGCGUAGGCGGCCUGAUAAGUCGGGGGAGAAACGCUGCGGCUCAACCGCAGCACUGCCGUCGAGACUGUUGGGCUUGAGCACGGUAGAGGCUGGUGGAAUUCCCGGUGUAGCGGUGAAAUGCGUAGAGAUCGGGAAGAACAUCGGUGGCGAAGGCGGCCAGCUGGGCCGUUGCUGACGCUGAGGCGCGACAGCGUGGGGAGCAAACAGGAUUAGAUAUCCCUGUAGUC
RNAcentral lists this ribosomal RNA (442 nucleotides) under uncultured bacterium. Its description in RNAcentral is "partial 16S ribosomal RNA". It matches the Rfam family "Bacterial small subunit ribosomal RNA", at positions 338 to 795 of the family's 1533-position model. The record is from RNAcentral.